GGGGCAGGGUGAGUCGACCCCUACGGCGAGGCUGAAAGGCGUAGUCGAUGGGAAACGGGUUAAUAUUCCCGUACUUCUGCUAACUGCGAUGGAGAGACGGAGAAGGCUAGGCCGGCGCGGCGUUGGUAGUCCGCGUUUAAGGUAGUAGGUGGUGUGCUUAGGCAAAUCCGGGCACACAUACACUGAGAGCUGACGACGAGUCCCUA
This 206-nucleotide ribosomal RNA is filed under the name Shewanella algae. Its description in RNAcentral is "partial 23S ribosomal RNA". It matches the Rfam family "Bacterial large subunit ribosomal RNA", at positions 1371 to 1579 of the family's 2925-position model. Lineage: Bacteria; Pseudomonadati; Pseudomonadota; Gammaproteobacteria; Alteromonadales; Shewanellaceae. The record is from RNAcentral.